UACGUAGGGUGCGAGCGUUGUCCGGAAUUAUUGGGCGUAAAGGGCUCGUAGGCGGUUUGUCGCGUCGGGAGUGAAAACCUCGGGCUUAACUCGGGGCUUGCUUUCGAUACGGGCAGACUGGAGGUAUGCAGGGGAGAACGGAAUUCCUGGUGUAGCGGUGAAAUGCGCAGAUAUCAGGAGGAACACCGGUGGCGAAGGCGGGUCUCUGGGCAGUAACUGACGCUGAGGAGCGAAAGCGUGGGGAGCGAACAGG
Molecule: ribosomal RNA, 253 nt
Filed under: uncultured bacterium
Lineage: Bacteria
Description: partial 16S ribosomal RNA
Rfam family: Bacterial small subunit ribosomal RNA
Source: RNAcentral